UGGAGAGGCUUUGCUCCCUUAAUUGUGAUUUUGCAGCAAAAGUGUGGAACCAGUGCUACAAGUGGUUGAAUGUGUCUUCAACUCUGCCUUUGGAUUGCCAAGCUCACUUCCUCCAACAUGGCAGCGAAUUUGGGACAGAUUUGCAACGAAGGGGGGUCAAAACAAUCUGGGUUGCGGUUCUAUGGUCCCUUUGGCUAGAAA
RNAcentral lists this long non-coding RNA (201 nucleotides) under Lotus japonicus. Its description in RNAcentral is "long non-coding RNA (LJAP_LNC000843)". Lineage: Eukaryota; Viridiplantae; Streptophyta; Magnoliopsida; Fabales; Fabaceae. The record is from RNAcentral.